UACGUAGGGGGCUAGCGUUGUCCGGAUUUAUUGGGCGUAAAGAGCGUGUAGGCGGCCAGGUAGGUCUGCUGUGAAAACUCGAGGCUCAACCUCGAGACGUCGGCGGAAACCAUCUGGCUAGAGUCCGGAAGAGGAGAGUGGAAUUCCUGGUGUAGCGGUGAAAUGCGCAGAUAUCAGGAAGAACACCCGUGGCGAAGGCGGCUCUCUGGACGGCAACUGACGCUGAGGCACGAAAGCGUGGGGAGCAAACAGG
RNAcentral lists this ribosomal RNA (253 nucleotides) under uncultured bacterium. Its description in RNAcentral is "partial 16S ribosomal RNA". It matches the Rfam family "Bacterial small subunit ribosomal RNA", at positions 524 to 776 of the family's 1533-position model. The record is from RNAcentral.